GACGAACGCUGGCGGCGUGCUUAACACAUGCAAGUCGAACGGAAAGGCCCUGCUUGCAGGGUACUCGAGUGGCGAACGGGUGAGUAACACGUGGGUGAUCUGCCCUGCACUUCGGGAUAAGCCUGGGAAACUGGGUCUAAUACCGGAUAGGAGCCAUUUUUAGUGUGAUGGUUGGAAAGUUUUUUCGGUGUAGGAUGAGCUCGCGGCCUAUCAGCUUGUUGGUGGGGUAAUGGCCUACCAAGGCGGCGACGGGUAGCCGGCCUGGGAGGGUGGACGGCCACAUUGGGACUGAGAUACGGCCCAGACUCCUACGGGAGGCAGCAGUGGGGAAGAUUGCACAAUGGGCGCAAGCCUGAUGCAGCGAAGCCGCGUGGGGGAUGACGGCCUUCGGGUUGGAAACUCCGUUCGCUAGGGACGAAGCUUUUUGUGACGGUACCUAGAUAAGAAGCACCGGCUAACUACGUG
This 465-nucleotide ribosomal RNA is filed under the name uncultured bacterium. RNAcentral describes it as "partial 16S ribosomal RNA". It matches the Rfam family "Bacterial small subunit ribosomal RNA", at positions 28 to 507 of the family's 1533-position model. The record is from RNAcentral.